Molecule: ribosomal RNA, 242 nt
Filed under: uncultured bacterium
Lineage: Bacteria
Description: partial 16S ribosomal RNA
Rfam family: Bacterial small subunit ribosomal RNA
Source: RNAcentral
CCGACCGGCGCACGGGUGAGUAACGCGUAUGCAACUUACCUAUCAGAGGGGGAUAACCCGGCGAAAGUCGGACUAAUACCGCAUGAAGCAGGGGCCCCGCAUGGGGAUAUUUGCUAAAGAUUCAUCGCUGAUAGAUAGGCAUGCGUUCCAUUAGGCAGUUGGCGGGGUAACGGCCCACCAAACCGACGAUGGAUAGGGGUUCUGAGAGGAAGGUCCCCCACAUUGGACUGAGACACGGCCAA